Molecule: ribosomal RNA, 1399 nt
Filed under: Desulfovibrio sp.
Lineage: Bacteria; Pseudomonadati; Thermodesulfobacteriota; Desulfovibrionia; Desulfovibrionales; Desulfovibrionaceae
Description: partial 23S ribosomal RNA
Rfam family: Bacterial large subunit ribosomal RNA
Source: RNAcentral
CGACAAGUUGCAAAGAGCAUCAGGUGGAUGCCUUGGCGUCGGAAGGCGAAGAAAGACGUGGUAAGCUGCGAUAAGCCUCGGGGAGGAGCUAAACAUCCUGUGAUCCGGGGAUCUCUGAAUGGGGAAACCCGCCGGGGGCAAUGCCCCGGCAUCCCGGCAUGAAUACAUAGUGCCCGGAGGCCAACUCGGGGAAGUGAAACAUCUCAGUACCCGAAGGAAAGGAAAUCAAACGAGACUCCCUCAGUAGCGGCGAGCGAAGGGGGAAGAGCCCAAACCGGUCGGACCCGUCCGGCCGGGGUUGCAGGGCCGCCAAACGCGAUUCGCGAGUAGGCAGGGGAAGGAAGCUGGAAAGCUUCGCCAGAGCGGGUGACAGCCCCGUACCCGAAACCGGAAGCGACGCAGGCGGUACCUAAGUACCGCGAGGCACGUGGAACCUCGUGGGAAUCCGGGAGGACCAUCUUCCAAGGCUAAGUACUAUCCGACGACCGAUAGUGAACCAGUACCGUGAGGGAAAGGUGAAAAGAACCCCUGUCAGGGGAGUGAAACAGAAUCUGAAACCAGGUGCUCACAAGCUGCGAGAGCCCCCAUGUGGGGUGAUCGCGUGCCUUUUGCAUAAUGAGUCAGCGAGUUGAUCUGUACUGCGAGGUUAAGCGUACGCGGAGCCGUAGUGAAAGCGAGCCUGAAGAGGGCGCAAGUAGUGCGGAUCAGACCCGAAACCGGGUGAUCUAUCCAUGAGCAGGUUGAAGCAAGGGUAAAGCCUUGUGGAGGACCGAACCGCCAACGGCUGAAAACGUUCCGGAUGACUUGUGGAUAGGGGUGAAAGGCCAAUCAAACCCGGUGAUAGCUGGUUCUCCCCGAAAUAUAUUGAGGUAUAGCCUCGUGGAUUGUCUGACGGAGGUAAAGCACUGACAGAGCUAGGGGUCCUACCAGAUUACCAAACUCUUUCAAACUCAGAAUGCCGUCCAGAUGUACCACGGGAGUCAGACAGCGGGUGCUAAGGUCCGUUGUCGAGAGGGUAAGAGCCCAGACCAACAGCUAAGGCCUCCAAAUGCAUGCUCAGUGGUUAAGGUGGUGACGUUGUAGAGACACCCAGGACGUUGGCUUAGAAGCAGCCAUCGUUUAAAGAAAGCGUAAUAGCUCACUGGUCUAAUGACGUUGCGCCGAAAAUGUAACGGGGCUAAGCAUGCUGCCGAAGCUUUGGAUUCCGCGUGAGCGGUCUGGUAGGGGAGCGUUCCCUGCGGGCUGAAGCUGCACCAAAAGGUGUGGUGGACUGCAGGGAAGUGAUUAUGCUGACAUGAGUAACGAUAAAACGGGUGAAAAACCCGUUCGCCGUAAACCCAAGGUUUCCUGGGUAAAGGUAAUCUUCCCAGGGUUAGUCGGCCCCUAAGGCGAGGCGGAA